CCUACGGGUGGCAGCAGUGAGGAAUAUUUGUCAAUGGACGCAAGUCUGAACCAGCCAUGCCGCGUGCAGGAUGACGGCUCUAUGAGUUGUAAACUGCUUUUGUACGAGGGUAAACGCCGAUCCGUGUAUCUGUCUGAACGUAUCGUACGAAUAAGGAUCGGCUAACUCCGUGCCAGCGGCCGCGGUAAUACGGAGGAUCCGAGCGUUAUCCGGAUUUAUUGGGUUUAAAGGGUGCGUAGGCGGUUGGAUAAGUUAGAGGUGAAAUCGCGGGGCUAAACCCCGGGACUGCCUCUGAUACUGUUGGGCUAGAGAACAGUUGCGGUAGGCGGAAUGGAUGGUGUAGCGGUGAAAUGCUUAGAGAUCAUACAGAACACCGAUUGCGAAGGCAGCUUACCAAACUAUAUCUGACGUUGAGGCACGAAAGCGUGGGGAGCAAACAGGAUUAGAUACCCUGGUAGUC
Molecule: ribosomal RNA, 460 nt
Filed under: uncultured bacterium
Lineage: Bacteria
Description: partial 16S ribosomal RNA
Rfam family: Bacterial small subunit ribosomal RNA
Source: RNAcentral